Molecule: ribosomal RNA, 433 nt
Filed under: uncultured bacterium
Lineage: Bacteria
Description: partial 16S ribosomal RNA
Rfam family: Bacterial small subunit ribosomal RNA
Source: RNAcentral
AACGAACGCUGGCGGCAUGCCUAACACAUGCAAGUCGAACGAGACCUUCGGGUCUAGUGGCGCACGGGUGCGUAACGCGUGGGAACCUGCCCUUAGGUUCGGAAUAACUCCCCGAAAGGGGUGCUAAUACCGGAUAAUGUCUUCGGACCAAAGAUUUAUCGCCUUUGGAUGGGCCCGCGUUGGAUUAGCUAGUUGGUAGGGUAAAAGCCUACCAAGGCGACGAUCCAUAGCUGGUCUGAGAGGAUGAUCAGCCACACUGGGACUGAGACACGGCCCAGACUCCUACGGGAGGCAGCAGUGGGGAAUAUUGGACAAUGGGCGAAAGCCUGAUCCAGCAAUGCCGCGUGAGUGAUGAAGGCCUUAGGUUUGUAAAGCUCUUUUACCCGGGAUGAUAAUGACAGUACCGGGAGAAUAAGCUCCGGCUAACUCCGUG